UUGCACAUUUCAUUGUCCUGUUCUUUGCAUGUAAGAACUUUGAUAUUUCUGAUGUGCUAGAGAAAUAGUGGAGGUAAAUUAACAGUGUGGCUGUGUUGUGCCAAUACUGUCAGUCCCCUUCAGACAGAC
Chanos chanos (milkfish) is the source of this 129-nucleotide small nucleolar RNA. The record is from RefSeq and is a predicted model, not a curated record. NCBI's taxonomy places the organism in Eukaryota, Metazoa, Chordata, Actinopteri, Gonorynchiformes, Chanidae.